This 336-nucleotide unclassified non-coding RNA is filed under the name soil metagenome. RNAcentral describes it as "partial contains 5.8S ribosomal RNA, internal transcribed spacer 2, and large subunit ribosomal RNA". The stretch from base 1 to 120 matches the Rfam family "5.8S ribosomal RNA", at positions 35 to 154 of the family's 154-position model. The record is from RNAcentral.
GAUGAAGAACGUAGUGAAAUGCGAUAAGUAAUGUGAAUUGCAGAAUUCAGUGAAUCAUCGAAUCUUUGAACGCACAUUGCGCCCGCCAGUAUUCUGGCGGGCAUGCCUGUUCGAGCGUCAUUUCAACCAUCAAGCCCCAGGCUUGUGUUGGGGACCUGCGGCUGCCGCAGGCCCUGAAAACCAGUGGCGGGCUCGCUGUCACACCGGGCGUAGUAGAUUUUAUCUCGCUCAGGGCGUGCUGCGGGUUCCGGCCGUUAAAAAGCCUUUUUUACCCAAGGUUGACCUCGGAUCAGGUAGGAAGACCCGCUGAACUUAAACAUAUCAAUAAGCGGAGGA